UACGUAGGUGGCAAGCGUUGUCCGGAAUUAUUGGGCGUAAAGCGCGCGCAGGCGGUUCCUUAAGUCUGAUGUGAAAGCCCACGGCUCAACCGUGGAGGGUCAUUGGAAACUGGGGAACUUGAGUGCAGAAGAGGAAAGUGGAAUUCCAAGUGUAGCGGUGAAAUGCGUAGAGAUUUGGAGGAACACCAGUGGCGAAGGCGACUUUCUGGUCUGUAACUGACACUGAGGCGCGAAAGCGUGGGGAGCAAACAGG
This 253-nucleotide ribosomal RNA is filed under the name uncultured bacterium. Its description in RNAcentral is "partial 16S ribosomal RNA". It matches the Rfam family "Bacterial small subunit ribosomal RNA", at positions 524 to 776 of the family's 1533-position model. The record is from RNAcentral.